Non-coding RNA from Pelobates cultripes (western spadefoot toad), 235 nucleotides. NCBI's taxonomy places the organism in Eukaryota, Metazoa, Chordata, Amphibia, Anura, Pelobatidae. The record is from the annotation of a GenBank genome assembly.
AACAAAAAUAAAAAAUAAAUAAAUGGAAAAACAGCCAAUUUGGAAAAUGUAUCCAGUUUGGCUAUUAUAUCACAGAUGGUGAAAUAAAUAUAAAGUAAGGGUCGCAUAAGCAGAAAUAAUAGCAGAAAGGUUGCAUACAUUAAAGGGACACUAUAGUCACCAGAACAACUUCAGCUUAUUGUAUUUGUCCUGGUGAGUACAAUCAUUCCCUUAAGGCUUUUUGCCCUAAACCCUG